This 437-nucleotide ribosomal RNA is filed under the name uncultured bacterium. RNAcentral's name for it is "bacterial SSU rRNA". It matches the Rfam family "Bacterial small subunit ribosomal RNA", at positions 81 to 518 of the family's 1533-position model. The record is from RNAcentral.
UACUUGGUGGCGACCGGCGCACGGGUGAGUACGCGUAUGCAACCUACCUAUCAGAGGGGAAUAACCCGGCGAAAGUCGGACUAAUACCGCAUAAAACAGGGGCACCGCAUGGUGAUAUUUGUUAAAGAAAUUCGCUGAUAGAUGGGCAUGCGUUCCAUUAGGUAGUUGGUGAGGUAACGGCUCACCAAGCCGACGAUGGAUAGGGGAACUGAGAGGUUGGUCCCCCACACUGGUACUGAGACACGGACCAGACUCCUACGGGAGGCAGCAGUGAGGAAUAUUGGUCAAUGGGCGAGAGCCUGAACCAGCCAAGUCGCGUGAAGGAAGAAGGAUCUAUGGUUCGUAAACUUCUUUUGCAGGGGAAUAAAGUGCAGGACGUGUCCUGUUUUGUAUGUACCCUGAGAAUAAGGAUCGGCUAACUCCGUGCCAGCAGCGGC